Molecule: ribosomal RNA, 759 nt
Filed under: uncultured archaeon
Lineage: Archaea
Description: bacterial SSU rRNA
Rfam family: Archaeal small subunit ribosomal RNA
Source: RNAcentral
GGAUAACCUGCCCUUAGGUCCGGCAUAACCCCGGGAAACUGGGGAUAAUUCCGGAUAACGCAUAUGUGCUGGAAUGCUUUAUGUGUAAAAUGGAUUCGUCUGCCCAAGGAUGGGUCUGCGGCCUAUCAGGUAGUAGUGGGUGUAAUGUACCUACUAGCCUACGACGGGUACGGGUUGUGAGAGCAAGAGCCCGGAGAUGGAUUCUGAGACAUGAAUCCAGGCCCUACGGGGCGCAGCAGGCGCGAAAACUUUACAAUGCGGGAAACCGUGAUAAGGGGACACCGAGUGCCAGCAUCAUAUGCUGGCUGUCCAGGUGUGUAAAAUACACCUGUUAGCAAGGGCCGGGCAAGACCGGUGCCAGCCGCCGCGGUAACACCGGCGGCCCGAGUGGUGAUCGUGAUUAUUGGGUCUAAAGGAUCCGUAGCCGGUUUGGUCAGUCCUCCGGGAAAUNUGAUAGCUCAACUAUUAGGCUUUCGGAGGAUACUGCCAGACUUGGAACCGGGAGAGGUAAGAGGUACUACAGGGGUAGGAGUGAAAUCUUGUAAUCCCUGUGGGACCACCUGUGGCGAAGGCGUCUUACCAGAACGGGUUCGACGGUGAGGGACGAAAGCUGGGGGCACGAACCGGAUUAGAUACCCGGGUAGUCCCAGCCGUAAACGAUGCUCGCUAGGUGUCAGGCAUGGCGCGACCGUGUCUGGUGCCGCAGGGAAGCCGUGAAGCGAGCCACCUGGGAAGUACGGCCGCAAGGCUGAAACUUAA